AGACCAAGGAAAGAGAAGUGGGAGGAGCGGGGAGCUCGGCGUCCCGCGUCCUCCGCGGCUCAGGACGACUACGCUCGGCACGUCCGGGACCCUCCGGCCGUGGCGGUUGCAGCGCCAAAAGCUCGGGCCUCAGCCCCUGCCGCUGUGGUGACUCCGCCGCGCCUCGCCGUCGCUCCUGUCCCCGUCCUGCCCGCCGCCUCCGCCGCUGGGGACAUGUCCAACCCCGGAAGCCGGAGGAACGGGCCUGUCAAGCUGCACCUGACAGGUAUAUUGAAAAGUCUGAUUCAGUUACAAUCAGUGUAUGGAAUCACAAGAAGAUCCAUAAGAAACAAGGUGCUGGAUUUCUCCGUUGUGUUCAUCUUCUUUCCAGUGCCAUCAACCACCUCAAAGACACUGGUUAUCAGAGGUUGGAUUUAUGCAAACCUGGGCCAAAGGACAGUUAGAAGACGUAAGUCUUCAGUCCAGAGACCAAAUUGGCACAGGAGGACAAGUUGUGGACUGCAGUCAUUUAUUUGAUAAUGAUUUACCAGACAACCUCAUCUAGUUGAAUCUGAAGAUGUGGACCUGCUGAUGAAGAGGGCUGAUUGUAUCUAACUUAGGGUCUUGCAUGCAGCUGGCACUUAAUGCAUUUUAUUGACUGUUUUAGCUAACAUUCAAUGGACAAUUCCUAAUAAAAAAUUCUUAAAAGUAUGAAAAAGUGCAAGAUGUGCUUUGUUAAACAGAUGCUUGAAGGCAG
This 736-nucleotide long non-coding RNA is filed under the name Pan troglodytes (chimpanzee). RNAcentral's name for it is "long non-coding RNA NONPTRT007189". Lineage: Eukaryota; Metazoa; Chordata; Mammalia; Primates; Hominidae. The record is from RNAcentral.